RNAcentral lists this ribosomal RNA (307 nucleotides) under uncultured soil bacterium. Its description in RNAcentral is "bacterial SSU rRNA". It matches the Rfam family "Bacterial small subunit ribosomal RNA", at positions 26 to 337 of the family's 1533-position model. The record is from RNAcentral.
AGAUUGAACGCUGGCGGAAUGCCUUACACAUGCAAGUCGAACGGCAGCACGGGAGCAAUCCUGGUGGCGAGUGGCGAACGGGUGAGUAAUACAUCGGAACGUGCCCAAUCGUGGGGGAUAACGUAGCGAAAGCUACGCUAAUACCGCAUACGAUCUACGGAUGAAAGCAGGGGAUCGCAAGACCUUGCGCGAAUGGAGCGGCCGAUGGCAGAUUAGGUAGUUGGUGGGGUAAAGCUCACCAAGCCUUCGAUCUGUAGCUGGUCUGAGAGGACGACCAGCCACACUGGACUGAGACACGGCCCAGACU